GCCUGGCUGGCUCAGUUGGUAGAGCAUGCGACUCUUGACUUCAGGAAAGUGAGUUCAAGCCCACGUUGGGCA
RNAcentral lists this transfer RNA (72 nucleotides) under Ailuropoda melanoleuca (giant panda). It matches the Rfam family "tRNA". Rfam says of the family: Transfer RNA (tRNA) molecules are approximately 80 nucleotides in length. Their secondary structure includes four short double-helical elements and three loops (D, anti-codon, and T loops). Lineage: Eukaryota; Metazoa; Chordata; Mammalia; Carnivora; Ursidae. The record is from Rfam by way of RNAcentral.